RNAcentral lists this ribosomal RNA (482 nucleotides) under uncultured bacterium. RNAcentral's name for it is "bacterial SSU rRNA". It matches the Rfam family "Bacterial small subunit ribosomal RNA", at positions 29 to 507 of the family's 1533-position model. The record is from RNAcentral.
AUUGAACGCUGGCGGCAUGCCUUACACAUGCAGGUCGAACGGUAACGCGGGGCAACCUGGCGACGAGUGGCGAACGGGUGAGUAAUAUAUCGGAACGUGCCCAGUAGUGGGGGAUAGCCCGGCGAAAGCCGGAUUAAUACCGCAUGAGACCUGAGGGUGAAAGCGGGGGAUCGCAAGACCUCGCGCUAUUGGAGCGGCCGAUAUCAGAUUAGGUAGUUGGUGGGGUAAAGGCCUACCAAGCCGACGAUCUGUAGCUGGUCUGAGAGGACGACCAGCCACACUGGGACUGAGACACGGCCCAGACUCCUACGGGAGGCAGCAGUGGGGAAUUUUGGACAAUGGGCGCAAGCCUGAUCCAGCCAUGCCGCGUGCGGGAAGAAGGCCUUCGGGUUGUAAACCGCUUUUGUCAGGGAAGAAAUCUUCUGGGUUAAUACCUCGGGAGGAUGACGGUACCUGAAGAAUAAGCACCGGCUAACUACGUG